GCUGGUAUAGUAUAGUGGCAGUACAUCACGUUGUGGCCGUGUCGACGCAGGUUCGAUUCCUGCUACCAGCA
This is a transfer RNA of Mucor circinelloides, 71 nucleotides long. It matches the Rfam family "tRNA". From Rfam's summary of the family: Transfer RNA (tRNA) molecules are approximately 80 nucleotides in length. Their secondary structure includes four short double-helical elements and three loops (D, anti-codon, and T loops). Further hydrogen bonds mediate the characteristic L-shaped molecular structure. tRNAs have two regions of fundamental functional importance: the anti-codon, which is responsible for specific mRNA codon recognition, and the 3' end, to which the tRNAs corresponding amino acid is attached (by aminoacyl-tRNA synthetases). tRNAs cope with the degeneracy of the genetic code in two manners: having more than one tRNA (with a specific anti-codon) for a particular amino acid; and 'wobble' base-pairing, i.e. permitting non-standard base-pairing at the 3rd anti-codon position. The record is from Rfam. Lineage: Eukaryota; Fungi; Mucoromycota; Mucoromycetes; Mucorales; Mucoraceae.